Molecule: non-coding RNA, 1149 nt
Organism: Callorhinus ursinus (northern fur seal)
Lineage: Eukaryota; Metazoa; Chordata; Mammalia; Carnivora; Otariidae
Source: RefSeq, a predicted model, not a curated record
CUCACAGCGAUAUAAUUCAUCCAUAUAAAGUAUAAAGCUCAGUGGCUUUUAGUAUAUUCAGUGUUGUGCCACCAUUUCCACAAUUUUAGAACAUGCUCAUCAUCCCAAAGAGAAGCCUUGUACCUAUUAGCACCUCCUCUCUCACCAACAACCUUCCACCCCUGCCCAAGCCUUAGGCAAUCACUUGUCUACUUGCUGUCCCUAUAGAUUGGCCAAUUAUUCUGGACAUUUAGCAUGAAUGGAAUCAUACGAUAAGUAGUCUUUUCUGACUGGCUUCUUUCACCUAGCAUAUUUCAAGGUUUCAUGUAUCAGAACUUCAUUUUCGAUUGCUGAAUAAUAUAGCUUUGUAUAGACAUACCACGUUUUAUUUAUCAGCUCGUCAUCCACAAUGUUAAUUUUAUCUGCUGUUUCCUUGUGUUCUGGUAUGUAAUAGUCUUUGGAAAGGAGUCUGGUUUUUUUCAGGUCCUGUAGAAUGAAGGAGAGGAGGAGCCUCUGCAACUCUGAGAUCCUCUGCAGAGAGAUCAACUCAAGGGGAAGGGGAAGUAGAGGCAUGAAAAUUGAUGUGGGUAAAUCCAAAUCAGUCAAGGGAGGAAGGGGACACGUGGACCCCCAGCUCAGACCCUGUACCGCGCAGGACAACUCUGAGCCUUGCUUCCUGGUGAAGAUAAAGAAAACUGAAUUUUGACAAAACAGAAGAAGUACGAAGCUGCUUGAACUUCUGCAAUUUUAUAAAGACACAUGUUCAAAAUUUAAAUUAUGGGAGUGACUUCUCCUUUUUUUUCUCCCUUUUGGGAACCAAAUAAAGCAUUUGCUUUAUUUGCUGCAGGGUGAAAGAGUUGUCUUGACAAGGUACCAGGGUGAGGUCAAGUGUGAACGCCACAGUGCUCAGGCAGCUUCCUGAAGGUGUCUCAGGCAUCAAAGUGACAGGAGGAAAUCACUGGAGUGUGACAUCGUUUCAGAGAAAAUGCACCAAGACUUCCUUCUGAGGAAAACUUGUAAGAAGUGCAAAGAAAAGAAGGGGAUGCUCUGGGGCAGGUGUCUUUCAUAGAUGAUUGUUAAACAUCGUUUGCCACAUCCUUACCUGCACUGGGUAUUUUCACUUAACGGAAUGAAAUAAAUUCUCUCCACUGCUUUAUCAGGCAAAAGAAA